ACUGUUGUUAAGAAAGCAAUUCGUGCCAUUUAUUAAAAAAAGUCUUAACAACACAGAUAUAUGUUCAGAUGCUGCAAACCCAUACCCUAAAGUCACUCAUCCCUCCACCAAAUUCCAGUCACCCCCAAACUCCCUUGAGAAAUCAAAGGAAGACUACAGCAACACACUUAGUUCAGAGAUGAUGGAAAUCGUGGUUGAUAUGAUGGUCAAAUAUACAUUUUCUUCUUAUUUGACCCAACCAAAAACAACUGCAGUUGUAGAACCACUCCUGCACAAUGGAGCGUCAAGAAGUUGGUUGCUUGGCAAUGUGUUGAUCACGGUUACAGUCAACAAGCGGGCAACUUCGAACAUGUCAUGCGCAUAUUGUUCG
This is a long non-coding RNA of Dendronephthya gigantea, 370 nucleotides long. RefSeq lists it as uncharacterized. The record is from RefSeq and is a predicted model, not a curated record. The transcript is spliced from 3 exons. NCBI's taxonomy places the organism in Eukaryota, Metazoa, Cnidaria, Anthozoa, Malacalcyonacea, Nephtheidae.